GCCCUCGUAGCUCAAUUGGAUAGAGCGCUUGCUUGCGGAGCAAAAGGUUAGGCGUUCGAGUCGCCUCGGGGGCGCCA
RNAcentral lists this transfer RNA (77 nucleotides) under Chloroflexota bacterium. RNAcentral's name for it is "Chloroflexi bacterium tRNA-Arg". It matches the Rfam family "tRNA". From Rfam's summary of the family: Transfer RNA (tRNA) molecules are approximately 80 nucleotides in length. Lineage: Bacteria; Bacillati; Chloroflexota. The record is from RNAcentral.